UCCCUGGUGGCUCAGAGGUUAAAGUAUCUGCCUUCAAUGUGGGAGACCCGGGUUCGAUCCCUGGGUCGGGAA
This 72-nucleotide transfer RNA is filed under the name Bos taurus (domestic cattle). It matches the Rfam family "tRNA". Rfam says of the family: Transfer RNA (tRNA) molecules are approximately 80 nucleotides in length. Their secondary structure includes four short double-helical elements and three loops (D, anti-codon, and T loops). Further hydrogen bonds mediate the characteristic L-shaped molecular structure. tRNAs have two regions of fundamental functional importance: the anti-codon, which is responsible for specific mRNA codon recognition, and the 3' end, to which the tRNAs corresponding amino acid is attached (by aminoacyl-tRNA synthetases). tRNAs cope with the degeneracy of the genetic code in two manners: having more than one tRNA (with a specific anti-codon) for a particular amino acid; and 'wobble' base-pairing, i.e. permitting non-standard base-pairing at the 3rd anti-codon position. RNAcentral also lists the same sequence under 2 other names. The record is from Rfam by way of RNAcentral. Lineage: Eukaryota; Metazoa; Chordata; Mammalia; Artiodactyla; Bovidae.